Molecule: ribosomal RNA, 549 nt
Filed under: Entrophospora lamellosa
Lineage: Eukaryota; Fungi; Glomeromycota; Glomeromycetes; Entrophosporales; Entrophosporaceae
Description: SSU rRNA
Rfam family: Eukaryotic small subunit ribosomal RNA
Source: RNAcentral
UUUGGAGGGCAAGUCUGGUGCCAGCAGCCGCGGUAAUUCCAGCUCCAAUAGCGUAUAUUAAAGUUGUUGCAGUUAAAAAGCUCGUAGUUGAAUUUCGGGACCAAUUUGUUGGUCGUGCCUCGGUACGUACUGGUAUUAUUGGUUUCUCCCUUCUGAAGAACCUUGAUGUCAUUAAUUUGGUGUCUUGGGGAAUCAGGACUGUUACUUUGAAAAAAUUAGAGUGUUUAAAGCAGGCAUACGCUUGAAUACAUUAGCAUGGAAUAAUGAAAUAGGACGUUUGAUUCUAUUUUGUUGGUUUCUAGGAUCGACGUAAUGAUUAAUAGGGAUAGUUGGGGGCAUUAGUAUUCAAUUGUCAGAGGUGAAAUUCUUGGAUUUAUUGAAGACUAACUACUGCGAAAGCAUUUGCCAAGGAUGUUUUCAUUAAUCAAGAACGAAAGUUAGGGGAUCGAAGACGAUCAGAUACCGUCGUAGUCUUAACCAUAAACUAUGCCGACUAGGGAUCGGAUGAUGUUAAUUUUUUAAUGACUCAUUCGGCGCCUUACGGGAAAC